UACGUAGGGUGCAAGCGUUGUCCGGAAUUAUUGGGCGUAAAGAGCUCGUAGGCGGUCUGUUGCGUCGGCUGUGAAAACCCGAGGCUCAACCUCGGGCCUGCAGCCGAUACGGGCAGACUAGAGUUCGGCAGGGGAGACUGGAAUUCCUGGUGUAGCGGUGAAAUGCGCAGAUAUCAGGAGGGAACACCGGUGGGCGAAGG
RNAcentral lists this ribosomal RNA (200 nucleotides) under uncultured bacterium. RNAcentral describes it as "partial 16S ribosomal RNA". It matches the Rfam family "Bacterial small subunit ribosomal RNA", at positions 524 to 721 of the family's 1533-position model. The record is from RNAcentral.